This 76-nucleotide transfer RNA is filed under the name Chitinophagaceae bacterium. RNAcentral describes it as "tRNA-Pro". It matches the Rfam family "tRNA". From Rfam's summary of the family: Transfer RNA (tRNA) molecules are approximately 80 nucleotides in length. Their secondary structure includes four short double-helical elements and three loops (D, anti-codon, and T loops). Further hydrogen bonds mediate the characteristic L-shaped molecular structure. tRNAs have two regions of fundamental functional importance: the anti-codon, which is responsible for specific mRNA codon recognition, and the 3' end, to which the tRNAs corresponding amino acid is attached (by aminoacyl-tRNA synthetases). tRNAs cope with the degeneracy of the genetic code in two manners: having more than one tRNA (with a specific anti-codon) for a particular amino acid; and 'wobble' base-pairing, i.e. permitting non-standard base-pairing at the 3rd anti-codon position. The record is from RNAcentral. RNAcentral also lists the same sequence under 2 other names. Lineage: Bacteria; Pseudomonadati; Bacteroidota; Chitinophagia; Chitinophagales; Chitinophagaceae.
AGGGAAGUAGCCCCGCCAUCGGCGGGGCACCUGGUUUGGGACCAGGGGGUCGCAGGUUCGAAUCCUGUCUUCCCGA